GACCUCUUCGUCCAGUGGUCAGGACACCGGGUUUUCAUCCCGGCAACACGGGUUCGACUCCCGUAGAGGUUA
RNAcentral lists this transfer RNA (72 nucleotides) under Spirochaetaceae bacterium. Its description in RNAcentral is "tRNA-Glu". It matches the Rfam family "tRNA". From Rfam's summary of the family: Transfer RNA (tRNA) molecules are approximately 80 nucleotides in length. Their secondary structure includes four short double-helical elements and three loops (D, anti-codon, and T loops). Lineage: Bacteria; Pseudomonadati; Spirochaetota; Spirochaetia; Spirochaetales; Spirochaetaceae. The record is from RNAcentral.